RNAcentral lists this unclassified non-coding RNA (787 nucleotides) under Camponotus floridanus (Florida carpenter ant). Its description in RNAcentral is "uncharacterized protein C3orf18 homolog, transcript variant X3". The record is from RNAcentral. Lineage: Eukaryota; Metazoa; Arthropoda; Insecta; Hymenoptera; Formicidae.
GUAGAACAACUCGUGGAUCAUUGUAUCGAUUCAGAUAGAAUAUAAUUGCGACGCAAUGGAGCUUGAUCUCUGACAAUCUGGAAGAAUGCUGUGAAAAAUCUUAUGCGAUUUCUUGCCAUUUAACGAUAAUAAAGCCGAUAUCUCCGAAUUAUCUGUCUGUCAUUGCAGUGCGAACAAUUACUGAUAAGUCCAUCAGGUAUGAUUGGAACGAAUUGACAUCGAUGAUCAUUUCCUCGACACAUACGUAAAUCGAUACAUAUAGUCAAAGAAUGACAGAGUAUCUACGGCGAUCAUGAUAUGUGUAGCUGGUCGCAGGUGGUCACGGAGAAUACACUGAGUGUACACGUGUCUGUUGACAGAGUGUGUCUCUUGAUAGAUAAUCGACUUGUGAUAUCUACGUCUUGCACAAAAUCUAGAUUACGUAUUGAUUAUAUCGAGGAAGCGCAAGUUGGAGCGUUUAAGACAUAGACUUAUGCCAAUGUACAACUUUGAUCCUGGAGAAGAGGAAGAGGAUGACUGGGAGACUGAACUGUUGGACGAAUGCUACAGUACACAUCAGAGACGAAUCGUAUCGUCUCCAAUAAGAUAAACUAGAAAGUGAAAAAAUUCCGAAUCAUCUGUGUAUACAUCUACGUAUAUUAUGUGUGCAAUUAAUGUAAAAAAAUAGUAGUUUAUUUAAUUUCUAUCAAGAUACUAAAGAGAUGUGAUUUUAUUCGCGAAUAAUUGUUCUUGCAAAAUUAGUGCCGUAUAUCGUAUAUAUAUAGAAAAAAAAAAAGAAAAUAAAUAU